UUCAAGUGAACCGUGCCCAUGGAGGUUCAAGAGAUCAGCUCGGAUCUCUUGUUUGUAAGCAAACCUCUUAACCCUUAAUAAGAGCUUGUGUCUUUAUUUAUUGUGCUGUGAGUGGUGUCUAGAGUCCCAGAAUCUCAUGUUUUGUUUAUUGCAUUGUCUUGAGUGUUGUCAUAGCUUGAAUCAUCAUGGAUGUGUUGUAGAAUUGAGUAGAAUGUCUCUGCUGCUUGCAUCAUGAUUGAUAAGUUCUUUUGCAUACAUAAGCAUAUCUCAUACUGUCUAAGUUCAAUCCUAGUGUUAUCUGAUGCUAUUGCCUAUGUUUAAUC
RNAcentral lists this long non-coding RNA (323 nucleotides) under Brassica rapa (field mustard). RNAcentral describes it as "long non-coding RNA (BRAP_LNC008021)". The record is from RNAcentral. Lineage: Eukaryota; Viridiplantae; Streptophyta; Magnoliopsida; Brassicales; Brassicaceae.